GCAGUCGCCGCGGUAAUACGAAGGGGGCUAGCGUUGCUCGGAAUCACUGGGCGUAAAGGGUGCGUAGGCGGGUCUUUAAGUCAGGGGUGAAAUCCCGGAGCUCAACUCCAGAACUGCCUUUGAUACUGAAGAUCUUGAGUUCGGGAGAGGUGAGUGGAACUGCGAGUGUAGAGGUGAAAUUCGUAGAUAUUCGCAAGAACACCAGUGGCGAAGGCGGCUCACUGGCCCGAUACUGACGCUGAGGCACGAAAGCGUGGGGAGCAAACAGGAUUAGAUACCCCUGUAGUCCCUGUCUCUUAUAC
This 302-nucleotide ribosomal RNA is filed under the name uncultured bacterium. Its description in RNAcentral is "partial 16S ribosomal RNA". It matches the Rfam family "Bacterial small subunit ribosomal RNA", at positions 508 to 807 of the family's 1533-position model. The record is from RNAcentral.